This 20-nucleotide unclassified non-coding RNA is filed under the name Mus musculus (house mouse). Its description in RNAcentral is "oocyte_clustered_small_RNA8456". The record is from RNAcentral. Lineage: Eukaryota; Metazoa; Chordata; Mammalia; Rodentia; Muridae.
AGGUCAGCCUCUCAACUGGG